GGUGACUCAGUGGUAGAGUGCUUACCUUGCAUGAAUGAGGCCCUGAGUUCAAUUCCUCAGCACCA
This 65-nucleotide transfer RNA is filed under the name Dipodomys ordii (Ord's kangaroo rat). It matches the Rfam family "tRNA". From Rfam's summary of the family: Transfer RNA (tRNA) molecules are approximately 80 nucleotides in length. Their secondary structure includes four short double-helical elements and three loops (D, anti-codon, and T loops). The record is from Rfam by way of RNAcentral. Lineage: Eukaryota; Metazoa; Chordata; Mammalia; Rodentia; Heteromyidae.